This is a long non-coding RNA of Myxocyprinus asiaticus (Chinese sucker), 12667 nucleotides long. RefSeq lists it as uncharacterized. Lineage: Eukaryota; Metazoa; Chordata; Actinopteri; Cypriniformes; Catostomidae. The transcript is spliced from 3 exons. The record is from RefSeq and is a predicted model, not a curated record.
AGUUCAUCUAAUGAAUUACACCUCUGGUAACUAAAAAUAACAUUGGGAACAGUUUGUUAAAACUAGUUGCAAAAAUUGCUCGGAUAAAUUUAUGUUCUGAAACAAGGUCUAACAUCAUUUGUUUGCUGAUACCACUUGGUUUUACUGUAUAUGAUCUAAUACAAUGAAAUUCAUACUAGUGUAAUUGUUGCUUAAACAUCCACAUACAGUACUUUGUGGGGCCACUUUCUAAAUUGUAAUUUUAUUUUGUAUCACUUGUACAUUCUAUAAGCAAGCUAAAUGGAGGAGGAGUCAGUGUUUGUUGUUAUUUUGUUCUGUAAGGUCCACUCUCCAUCACUGUGGAAAAAUGGUGGGCGAGCCAUCUCCAGUUUGUAGUGUCAACAAACUCUAUGUCCACCCUCACAUUUUCCUUUACAGACAUUUAAUGGCAUGAAAUGGCAUUGUAUUCUUUAAAUUCCAAAUAGAUUGAUCAAUACAAUAAACAAGGCACAAUAGAGAUGCUAUGUUCACCAUGCUUGUCUUUCAACACAAAGAGAUUACUUGUUGAAGCAGAGAUCCCUGCUGCAUUAUGUGUGGAUUUGGUAGCACUGGAUGGCUAAUUAUGGUCAUGACUGUCCUGUCUGGGAGUUUCGGGUAGAGGCCGGUGAGCAAAUGUUGCGUAGUACAAACACCUGAUCUAGAUUAGCGAUCCAAUGAUCUUUUAAAAUGUUAUUUGCAGGUUUCCGUGGUAACUAAUAUGGAGCAGUCUGAAACAGAACAGAGCCACAAUUUGAACAUUCCAGGCCUGGAGGGAAUAUGAAACUCAAAGGAUAGAAAAUGAAUUCAUGCUGGAACAUUUCCACUGAUUAAGCCAAUCGCAUUACAGAAAAGUAGGAAACGUGGCCCUGGUUUGUCUAUUGUACAUAAUCUCCCUGGUGUGUGAUAGACUUCCUCCAGCAGUAAAUGCAACAGAAAAGACAAGAGUAACUUUCCAAGCAAAUGAAAAAACUAACUUUAUGACAACCCUUUGGUCAUUUCAUGCUUCCGUUACUAAAAACAAAUGACUCCCACAUACAGUACCAUAAUACAAUGAUCAAACGGUUAGGGAUCCCAUGACCUAUACGUCUAUUUUAUUGAGGCGAAAUGUGCAAACCGACUUUUAGACUUCAGCAUCACUUUAAUGACAUCACUUUUGUGGCAGUUUAAUCUCAAGGAUACACACAGUACUUUUAUGAUCAAAGCAAACCAAGCUGCAACAUUCUGUCAAAAAAGUAAGCAACCCCACGCAAUUACCCAAAAAAGAAAAUUCUGUCAUCAUUUACACACCUUCAUGAUGCUCCAAAUCCAUUUAAAUUUCUAUUCUCCGUGGAACACAAAGGGAGAUUUUAGGACUUGGCAGUCUAGCCUCAGUCACCAUUCAUUGCAUCUUGAGUAAAUUAUCAUAUCAUUUUUAUUUCUGGGUGAACUAUGCCUUUAAAAGUGACUGAACAGAUCAUCUACAUAUGACAUAUAGCCAGUUAUGACAGAGCCCUGAAUAUUUGUGCAAGAAGUGUCUAUCAUCAUUUUACAGAAAUCCUUUAGAAGGUAAAUGUGGAAAGUAUUAUCUUCAUAAAUAACAAGGACAGCUGAAUGCAAUGAAUGUCAUAUAAAAGUCUUUAAAGACAGACAACCACACAUUUAUUUACUUGUAAAUGUGUUUGUGAAUGGAGAAAUCCUAGAAUAUCAUCUUCAACUUGUCUCGACUGAUUUGUCAUGGACGAUAACAUUUCAGUAUUUACUCCUAAAAUUCCCAGCACCUUAUGCAAGGUAAGCAUGCACGCACUCAUUCCGCCUACUGAACAACACUCUACCUUCAUAAUAUUGCAACUAGAUUGAAUCUCAUGAAAGAAACAAAAAAUGCCUGACUGAUUCCAAUCUCCCUCCUAAAUGUCUAUCCAGAGGUUUUAUUGUUGAUUUAUUUAUCUAAUUCUCAUUAGAUUCUCGUAACUGUAAAGUAUUUAUUUAUUUAUUUUUUACUUAAAUCAGCAUAAAGGUAGUAAAACAAAUACUAAAAUGAUAUAGGUUGUAACUACUGUUUAAAUAAUAUGUAUUUGUUUGCAUUAUAGUAAUGAGAAUUGGGGGAGAUGUGUGCUUAACUGUCAUGAAAAUAAUAAUUAUAAAAAAAAAAAUACUGGUCUUCCAAAUAGCAAAACAUUUCUUUAUUUAGAUUUUGGGGUUAAAUAUGACUCAGAUAUGCUCUUAAAAGGUUUCAUGAGAUUCACAUACUGACUGUUUAUGCUGUCCGGUAGUCUCAAUAAACUGUUUGCUGGAAAUACACUGCAUUUACCCAUACACAAAAACACAUACCGCGGCUUUGACAAUGGUUUUGAGAGAGUUAUUACUACAAGAAUCGGUUCCUGCUACAAUGGAAGGAAAUGCGUCACAGAUGCAAGGCUGACUCAAAACAAAGAGCGACGGAACAGAGCGACGGCCACUUAAAAACAAAGAGGGGGGAAAUGCAGGAGUGUAUAGUGGAAGAACUGAAUGAAUGGAGGAGAAAUAAGAGAGGUGGGGGGACUUGAAAGAAGGACAGAAAGACUGAACAUGGGCCUUUACUGCAAAAGGGUCUUCCCGUAAACUUGGGCUGUUUGGCCGAGGCAAAUGUGACCCAUGACAGUGAGCUUUCGUUCCGAGAGGGCAGUAGAGGAAAGAUGCAGGGGCACAGAGAGUUUUAACAGUUUUUCCACCCUGUUUCUUGAAUUGAAAAGUUAUUUUUUAGGGCUUUUCAUCACAGGCGCUGAACUCAAUGAGGAAGAUUGUUUCGGAACACCAUAGGGUCGCUUAUUUAGACUUACAAGAAGUAAGAAUGUGGAUGUAAGUCAGGAACAAGCCUCUUUGAAUCUUGAUGGAUUUUCUUAGCGCACAAGUAGCAGUGUUUCGCUGUCUGAUCUGAUAAGGUUCCUGCAAGCUUGUUUGCAUCCCGUCUCUGUGGUCGAGUGUCACAAACACAGAAUGUCAUGUUGUGAAAGUCCAGGUGCAAGUUACCACAUCAAGCCUCCCUGAUGGGAAUGGGAGUGACGAGUUUGUGUGAGUGACAGAGUUAAAGUUAACAUAAAAUCAAAAUGGACCCUGAUUACUUUCUUAAAAUAUGUUUCUGGUCUUAUUGUAAACAAGUCAUUAGUGCACAUAAUUCCAAAGAAGAAAAUGUUUUUGUAAUAUUUCAGCAAGUUGCUAUGUAACUUGCUAUGCCUUCCUUUUCAGUUGACAUCAGCGGGUUCUCGGUUGUGUAUUGGUUAUUAUGAACAGUUAGUUCCGGUCCUCUAAUCUGAUCAGACGAGCUGCGUUGCUAGUUGCUCCCUACAUUUUACUACUAGUUUCACUUAGAACAUGUACACAGUACAUCACAUUACAGAAGUCAAAUGGCUUGCAAAUGCUUGUUUCAUUUGUAGACGUUGACAUUUAGAAAAUUAGAAAAUGAAAUGACACUUCUAAAUCCCUUUUGUGAUAACAAUUUUAGUUCUUUCUCUUUAAUUUCAACUCUGAUUUCGGAGUGAGUCUCCAUUGUCAAAAAAAAAAAAAAAAAAAAAAAAAAUUAACUCACUUCUGGAUAGUACUUUAAGAAAGAACACAAGUUUACGUAUAGCAAAAUGCUUGGGAGGAUAUUAUAAAUAAUUUCUUGCAUCACCUCUUCAUGAUGUACUGUAAUAUUCUGCUGUCAAUCUGAAAUAGAAGGAAGCAUGCUGAAGGCAAUCUCUACACGAAUGACCUGUUAGUACAGGAGUUUAACUUCACUUGCCUCCACCUGCCUUUGUAUAACACCCAAUAUUAAGCCAAAAGGAACUGGAGAGGUGAGACAGACACAGCAUGUGAUACUGUUUCCAUUAUACAGAAAAUAAAGCAGAGGAUAUAUUGAGUGUUAUAUGGACUCUGUCCAUUGUCAUUUGGCAGGAAGAUUAAUCUGCCUGUCACAUACAGCCAGGGUCCAAAAUGUAGGCCAAGAGUGAGUUAAAAUUGGGUUUGAUGAGUAAAUAAAACGGAGUAACUUUAUUAAGAACUGUUACAUUACAUAGUUUAACUUAAAAGAUACAAUAAUCUGACCCUCGCUGAUGUAAGUGAAGUAUGCAAUUCAAAUCAUAGACAUAAAUAACAUCUACUAAAUGUAGCCGGUGAGUUGAAAAUAAUCAACACAGGAUACAAAACUAUUUUUGGGGGGUUUAUUCUGACAGCUGUUUAAAAAAAUAAAAAAAUAAAAUAAAAAUGAAAUAAGGUACAAUGAAAUACGGUAGAGGCUAAUGUUAAAUGAAAAUACAAACAGGGCAUUAGCCUACCUAUAUGCUUCAGCAUUCAUCACCUUAAUCCAUGCUUAUAUAAUUCACAGUAUUUUAUGCAUUUAACACAUGCUUAAACCACUCAAAGCAUUUUAUGCAUUUUUAACCAGGCUUUAAGGACAUGUAUAACAGUUUAAAACAAUAAAAUUCACAUUACACAAGUUCACUUAAUUGGAAAAAACUCUGGGCAAUAAAUCAUUAAAUGAGAUAUGAUUCAUUCUAAAUGUAUAUACCCAGUCCUCGCAUGUGCACAAAACGUAGUCAAACUCUACUCAUGCAAUCCAUAUGUAUCCUUCAAAAAUGAUCCAUAACAAACUCUCAGUUUUAACAUAUGACUCUCCUGAACACAUAUUUAAUGUAAUUUAUCAGCAUUUUGUGUGAAAUUUUAUAUUUACCCAAAUAAUUCUCAAACCAUGAACAAAACUGGGAGCUCUCUUGCACAAUACAUGUUCUCAUGUCUCUUAACCAGCACACAUGCGCAACACAGUGCCAGGUUGCAAAACUCCGGUUCUGAAAGGGGCCACGUCCAGUUUAUGUCUAGAGUUAAAUGUGCAAUAUGUAAAAUUUUUCAUGUAAUAUUUGCCUUUUUUUUUUGCCAAUGUGUGAACGGCUUGUAACGCAACUUAAAAAAUUAGCCCUUCCCGGACUUACUAAUUUGCCUAUUAAAGCCGGUACACCGAUUUUCAUGCGAAGGGAGCGGGCCGCUUUUGCUGGGAAAAUCCAAAGGAUGUGACGUUUAUGGGCGCUCCCGAGAGCCUUGACUUGGUGCUUCUCUUCUGCUAUUUAACAGCGUCAACAAACUGCAACACUAGGUAACGUUAUCUUAGAGAUGGAAUCCAGCAAACGUCCGGCUCCCAGCACAACACCGACUCCUACACAAACUCCAAGUAAGCCCAAAAAAAAAAAAAAAAACCUUCACUGAAUCCCAUCUGGCUAAGCGGGAACGUGAUCGUGGUCGAGCAAAAACUAAUGUGAACAUCGGCAGGACAUUUGAUUCCUGGAGGGAACUUUGUUUGGUUUUGGGGAUCAAAACCGACUCUGAAUUGGCAUUCUUCUUAUUGGACAGGUAAGCUUACAUGUGAAAUAUAGUGCCAUAAGGAUUGAUCUGUGUAAUUUUAGCUAACUUGAUCUUGCCUGCUAACGCUGACGAAUUGCAAGCUACCUUGCUUUGUAACUUUCAAAUAAUUUAAACGAUCUUCUCUUUAUACUAAAAGUCAGGUAUGCUGAUUCACAGUAACUGACCUAAUGUUCAUCUGUCAUUAUUCAGCAAGGUAAACAACAAUAACACAUGAAAUGAAUGCUAGACAAUGUUCAAGAUAAUGCAAAAAGACCCAUUCAUUAGUGUAACUUAACUUGGUUAUACAGAAAAUAUAUAUAAUCUAUUAUUAUAAAACAAUAGGACAUCGAUAUAUCAAAAUGACAGUUGUGAUGGAAUAACAUCAAUACUGAAUUGUGUCAACAUAUUUAUAAUGUACAGUCUAUUUUAUAAACAGCUACUGUCAUCAUCCACCAAAUUUAGCUAACAGCUAUUGAUAAAGCUAGCUGGCUAGCUAGCUAACGCUGACAUAGGCUAUCGUAUAAAUGCAGUCAAUGUAUAAUGCAAAGAAAAGUGAUUACUUCAAACUACAGUCUCGCAUAGCCAGACCUAUAUCCACACUUUGUUUUAGCCCUGUUCCAGCACUGGAGAGUGAAAUGUAAUAUACAGUUUCAAAGUUUGUAGUAAAACAAUCAUAACUGUGUAAUUUUAAUUAUGCUACCUCAUCUGUAAUCAUGAUGCCGGUGAAUCACUUUCAGUCUCGCUUCCCUAUACAGUGUGCGCGAUCACAAGCAACAGGCUGCAGUUCACUUAAUGGCCACAGGUGUCAUUAAUAACAAGGGUUUCUGAAUCUUACAUACUGCACCUUUAAAUAUCAUGACAUUUUUUCACUUAAGAAAAAAGAAAACAAGCCAUUAUGUUUUUCCAGAACUCAAUGUGGCGACACAUACACUCUUAGAAAUAAAGGUUCUUUACCAGCAUGCAUGGUUCCAUGAGGAAUCUUUAACAUCCAUGAAACUUUCCAUUGCUCAAAAUGUUCUUUGUAGUGGAAGAAGGUUCUUCAGACUAGAAAAAUGUUCUUCAAGAUGGUUCUUUUAAGAACCUUUAACUGAAAGGUUCUUCUAUGGCAUCGCCACAAAACACCCUUUUGCAACCUUUAUUUUUAGGAGUGAUGUAGAAUAUUCCUCUCAUUUAACCACCAAAAUUAAGAUUUGAGGAACAAAAUCACUGUCAUCAAUGUGUUUUUGUGACAGGUGCAGUUUCACUGAGAGAUGGAGAAAAGCUUGCAUAUGAUGCAAUGACCUGCAUUGUUUGUCACAAAAAAUGCUAGGAAAAAACAACUAAAUAAUCCAAUUAUCAUAGGGACAGAAAUAUAUUUUAAAUAAAAAUAAUGCAAUGGCUGGUGAGAAAUUUUAUGGCUAAUUUUCCCAGCUCCCUCUCAAUUGGCAGGUGUGAAAAAAAGUUAUUUUUGGACACUGCACACAACUAUACACAUCUUUAAUUUGGAAGGGAAUAACUGAGUGGAGGGACAGAGUCCUUCUCUGGGGUUUACUCCUUUGGAAAAUCCAUUCUGUCUGGUUAAAUGAAAGCUUAAUGUGAGUGUGGAAAAGUGGAAAAUUUAAUUAAGCUGCUAAGGGGGGUUUAAGGCACUCGGCACGAGCAUUUCACUGCCUUCUCCCCCCGUUUUUGCGUACACUCUCCCCACUACGACCACUGUCUGCCUAGCGUCAUGUUUGCAGCUGUGUUGUAGUCACAUAGUAUGCAAUAAUGAAGCAUUUAACUUUUGAAUCAAACUAAUUAACAGCAUUUGUUUUUUGUACCACAUACAAGUUCAGGGUCUUGAGUGCUGCAGAUAUUUGUAACUAGCAAUCUGCCACGAGAGGCUGAGUGUUACAGUGAUUUUACCACAGCUAAGGGGUGUUGUUUAUCGCAACGGUAAAAGCAAUGUGAUAAUAGAUUGAUCAUAAUAAAAUUAAUUACAAUAAACAAUUUUUCUGCCAAGUAAUAAAGUACAUAAGCCUAAUUGUAGGCUGAUUUAGAUUGCCUAGCAACAUAGUAACUUAUUAUAAUAUUAGAUCUGUUCCAAAAUCUAGUGAGCUGCCUUGCUGCCUGCAACAUUCUAACCCAAAUGGAACCUCAUAAGUGACUAAAUUGCAACUCUCUACAUAAGCACCACAUUGAAAGCACUCCUCACGUCGAAGUAUACAGGAGACCUGAUUCAGUUGAUUAAAACAGAGUUUGAUGUUGGCAUGUUACUAAGCUAACAAUGUAAUAAGCAUAAAUAUACAUACACACAAAUGCUGGGUGUAAUCAGUAUGAUUGAACUAUCUUUUAUUAAUACUUUUCAGCUUCAUAUAAAAUCAAAAGUAUAUUUAGAGUCAAAACCUUUCACUUCAACCUCCAUCUUAGAUGAUCGUUAUCACUGAGCUUGUUGCAAUUGCCAUCACUGCAAAAUACACAUUCUGGCCAAAAUGAAGCAGGCUAUUUUAGAAGCAGCAUAAGGUUGCUACCUAUCUUUUAGAACAGACUUUACAUGGGGAAUGUGCCUGUGAUGCCUUUAAAAGCUGUCUACAUAGGCAGCUCACUAGGUUUUGGAACAAAGCUAUAGAAUUCAACUGAUAUGCAUUUACAGCAGUAGCGUGCAUUCGACAAACUUGGUACCAGGUCUCGCCUUCUGAUAUUACUUUAUUGUAAUUUAUUUAUAGUUCUUUGUUCUUUUUAAAGAGGGAAAGAAAGUUUUGAAUAACUUUUCUGUCCUCAUUUUUAUUGCCCUUUCGCUUAAGGUUUCGAAGGGGCUGACUGGUUCACAUGUGUGGAUAUAUUGGGAAUAUUGUUUAGAAGUAGUAUAUACACACAUCUAGAAAAAAUGCAGGUGCACAGCUACAAGUUAAUGUACAUAGCUUUUCUAUAUUGAAAAUAUUACAACAGCUCCAAACAUGGCCCAUCCAAUCAGAUUUUAGAGUAAGAUUUACACAUUUAAUGAGUAAAUUUACACAAGAUUGACAUCCAUUUAAGGAAUAACAAAGAACAAAAUGCAAGAUCUGGUAUAUUAUAUAAGGGAUAAUGGACAUCGCAAAAUAAGCCGUAAAAAUAAACCACAAGACUUCUUCCAAGUAAAUAAAUAAAUGGACAUGAAAUAUUGAGACGAUGUAGUGAUAUGAGAGACAUGAAACUAGAACAGAUAUGUAGGAAAACAUUUGCCUUGGACAACUGUCAAUUAUACAGUUUAGCAGUCAUUACAAAGCCUUGAAUGUCCAAUCAGAAUCAAGUAUUCCUAUAAGCUGUGUAAAAAGCAACAAUUAUAAACAAAUGUAUGAAACUGUGGAAAUUCAAAGGUAGAGGUCUGUAGCGUUCACUCAGAACACAAUUUCUGCCUUUAUAAUAUGCAACGUGCACCUGUCUAUGUGACUCUUACCUUGCAUACAUCACUCUGCUUGACAGCUCAAUCAGCCAGACAGGCCAUCAGAGUGAAUCUCCCACCCUGACAGCAGUCAACACUCAAUCCAGCCUGACAGUUGACCAGGUACCGCCAGCAGCCAGGCAGUAUCGCAUACAGAAAGCAGGGCUUGAAAGCUGCAUUCCAAAUUGUUGUAAUAGCAUGGAAAAGACACACCAGGACAUUCUUCAAAAACUCUUCAUUUGUGGUUCCACGGUGAAAAGAAAGUAAUUUGAGUUAGAACAACAUGAGGAGGAAUAUAUUAAAUAACCGUGACUGUUUCUGAAAUUGCCGGGGCCUGACAUCUUGAGGAACACCGCAGUGGUAAACAGGGAAAGGUUGCAGUCCCGUUCCUCAACCUCGCUCUGACAUAUUUAGGCCUUCGUAAUGUUCCCUGUUUUGCUCUGAUUACCUCUCGUGUCUGCUGCUGCCCUGUCUUCUUAAUGUCUCUGGGCAGGCAGAUGAUCUAAGAUGGCAGAGGGGAUUUUCAAUUAUACUCUAUUCUCAUUUCUGUGUUUUUCUCAACCUCACAACGCAAUCUGAAGUUGGAGUCUAACCAUGUGCAUUCCAUCUGAAAGUGGAAAGGUGCUCCGUGAGGGUCAGAAAGUUUGGUAACAUCAAUCCACAAAUCUUCACUUUUUUCUGGAUGAUGCUCUUCUGUGGAAAGGUGAGGGUGCAGGCAAAAGUCAUGCAAAGUAAAGUGGGUGCUGUGACAUCCACUAUGGGAGAUUUCGAUUGGUUCUAGAGAUCUGGGAACAAAGGAGAGACUGAGGCCAUUUGACAAAACAUGGGGAAGAUGUUUAUCUUAAUAACUAUAAGGUUUGAGUCAAAAGUCCAACUACACAAAUGCUUUUUGCAUUUACCACACUGGCAUACAUUGAUACAAGAGGAAAGUAUAUAAUGGAAGCAAACUGGCAUUUAGCACAUUAUGCCUCUAACAAUUUCGGUUGCAUAAAACAUGGUUUGAUAUUUUUCUAUACAGCAUUGGAUGUAAUCUCAUUACUUUCGCCAAAAAGUAGUGUAACACAUUACAUUUUAAACUUGAGUUAUGACUUCAAAUUAAGUUAAUUACUUUAAGUAUUAUUACUUGGGUUACUUAUAUUUCUAAAUUUAUAUGUAUAAUACAUUAAAAUGUAUUAUGUGUACGUCUGACUGUGUUUCUGUGAGAGCUGAACGAGUCACUAAUGAGUCAUUGUAAGGGACAAACCUGACAAUUAAUAUUUGUAAUAUUCUGAAUCAUUAAUAAAAAAAAAAUAAAAAUAAAAAAAGUGUUUUAGAAAGUAAAAGUAUGUGAUUACUUUUCCAAUUAACUAAUCAGCAAAGUAAUCUGAAUACAGUUUUAGAUAAGUGAUUAGAAAUUGGUAGUUGAUUAUGUUUUGAUUCAUGAAUUACUGUUCAUUAAUAUUUAACUUAAAAAUAUGUUGUGGAAGGUACAGCUUUUUUUGUACUUUGAUAUUUUGUACUUUGAUAUUUCAUAUUUGAAAUAAAAUAAAAUUCGAACAAACCUACCCUGAAAAAUAUUCACAGGAGAACACAUUAUUGGGUCUGACCAAAACCUAGUGAGCGACCUCCGGAGGCAGCAUUUUAAGACAUCGUAGGUGAGCUCCUGACGCGAAUGCUGUUCCAAAAGGUAGGUUAUCUUAAUUAUGCUGCUUCUUAAGAUUUCUCGUUUAGGCCAAAUUCUAAGGUAGCAUCAUAUGUAUCCUUCCCUGGGUAGGCGAUCCCAGAAUGCAUCAUGAUGAGCUCGGCGGAAAAAUAAAUCCAAGAUGGCGGAAAAAGUGAGAUAAAGUGGUAAAGACGCUGGCUACCACCCCUGGAGUUCGCUAGUUCAAAUCCCAGGGUGUGCUGAGUGACUCCAGCCAGGUCUCCUAAGCAACCAAAUUGGCCCGGUUGCUAGGGAGGGUAGAGUCGCAUGGGGUAACCUCCUCGUGAUCGCUAUAAUGUGGUUCGUUCUCGGUGGGGCGCAUGGUGAGUUGAGCGUGGUUGCCGUGGUGGAUGGCGUGAAGCUUCCACACACGCUAUGUCUCCGUGGCAACGCGCUCGACAAGCCACGUGAUAAGAUUCGCAGGUUGAUGAUCUCAGACGCGGAGGCAACUGGGAUUCCUCCUCCGCCACCCGGACUGAGGCGAAUCACUACGUGACCACGAGGACUUAAAAGCACAUUGGGAAUUGGGCAUUCCAAAUUGGGAGAAAAAGGAAAAAAAAAAUAAAUAAAUUAUACAUACAUCACAGUCUUUCUAUAUUUGACUGGGAAAGGCACAUUCUCUCAUUGGAAUCAUUUUAAAAUAACCAGUAUUUCAACAAACAACUGAAGCUGUUAACAGCAGUUACUUCAAAGGUUAACUUGCUCACUUGGAAUGACAAUUCCAUGGUAAUUGAUGAAACUGAACAUCAUUUACAUUGCCAAGCGUUUUAUUUUUUCGAUGGCCUGCUUCCAUCAAGAUGGUUUAAAUAAGGCAGGAUUAAGGGAUUUUCUGAUUUAGCCAUGAAGUUGGCAGGCGAGACCUCGGCACAAAAAGAGGAAAGCAAAAAGAAAACAAGGUCUUUAAAAGCAAGCUUGUACUACACCUCAUUUGCAGCUGUUUAUUCAUCUCUAUCCCUGUUACAACUGUUAAAGACCUUAAUAUAAACUGCAAAAAUAAAAAGUAUGCUUUGAUAAAUAAGUCACUGAUAUGUGCAUGAAAUACACUGGAGGAGGUACUGUUUUCCCCCAAUGUAUAAUGCACUACACUUCCCUGGGUGCCAAAAAAAGUAAAAUGAAAAAUUAGAAUGCAGUUUCUGCACUGUGCUGGCUUUAAGAGACCAUCAACCUUUCCUUCAUCACUCUCAAACCCCCUUAACCCUUAAAUGCACACCUCGUGUCUUUAGAGAAUCGGGACCUCAUUCCACCCCCUGUACCUCAUCCAUUUUUUGGAGUUGUGCCAACACCUCUUUAGUAUUACUCAAUCUAUCUCUUAUAAACAGUAUAACGAAAAAAAUAAUUGCCAAAAUUGCAAAAAAGAAAAAAAAAAGAAAAAGAAAAUAUAGCUGCCAGUAGCAACUAAUGGGGUUCAAGCGGUUUAAGGCCUUUAAGCACAUGCGUAAAAAGGUAUUAUGUUUUAUUUAGCAAGCAUGUAACCACCUAGAUCAUAGAUGGAAUAGACCAUUUACAGCCAAGACAGGCAAUUUACUAAGGAAAUACAUGGUUUUUAAAUAUUUUUAAAGCGCAUAGCGCCACCUAUGGUCCGAUCUCCAUAAAAGUCUGCAUGCUUGUUUUGAAUCAUAUGUCACCUAAUUUCGUGAUGUUCUGAGUUUUUGUUUAGGAAUUAUGGGCUUAUUUGUACACUUGACCAUGCCCAUUUUCUAAAUGACACUGUUAUAGCUACCCUAAAGGUAAAGUAAAAAAUGUAAUUACUGACCUAGAGAGUCCAGAGAAUUGUACUGCAUUGGUUUUAUUGAGGUUGAGCGAAAAACCUAGGACUAGUUCACAAAAGUAGGUUUUUUACAUAAUCUUAAAUAUUUAAUGAAUGAUUUGAUUGACAGCAGUGGUUCUUGAGGCAGAGUUGUUCAGUAUGAGGAGAUAUAACAAAUUAUAUGAAUUAUAGCUGCGUCCCAAUUCAGAGGCUGCAUCCUACAAAGGUCUCAUUCGAAGGCCGAUUGCGUCACUGUUGUGCGACAAAGGCUGUCCCAAAUCGAAGGCUCCUUCAAAUGCGGCCUCCAAAUGUGUCCUUCGUUUCCCGUGAAAUGAAGGAUACAACAGAUGGCUCCUUCGUGGCCUUGCCUACCCCAGAAUUCAGUGCGCACCAGUGACGACAUUUUUUUUUUUUUUAAGAGAAAUUGCCAAAAUACACUUUUAAACGUAAGUAUUAGGUUUCAACUUACUCAAAUAUCUAAUUAUACAAAUGUAAAAAAAAAAAAAAAAGAAAUGUA